AAUCCAUCCCGAGCGGCCGAGAGACCUGGCUCUAUGACGCCGCAGCAACCACCUGGAACAGGCAGGUGCUAACGCCAGGAGCGAUGGAGU
Molecule: non-coding RNA, 90 nt
Filed under: Saccharopolyspora rectivirgula
Lineage: Bacteria; Bacillati; Actinomycetota; Actinomycetes; Pseudonocardiales; Pseudonocardiaceae
Description: SAM-I sequence
Rfam family: SAM riboswitch aptamer (S box leader)
About the family: The SAM riboswitch is found upstream of a number of genes which code for proteins involved in methionine or cysteine biosynthesis in Gram-positive bacteria. The SAM riboswitch acts at the level of transcription termination control.
Source: Rfam by way of RNAcentral